Molecule: long non-coding RNA, 286 nt
Filed under: Rattus norvegicus (Norway rat)
Lineage: Eukaryota; Metazoa; Chordata; Mammalia; Rodentia; Muridae
Description: long non-coding RNA NONRATT017896
Source: RNAcentral
GAAUCCCUGUCCCAUCUCACCUGCAGGCCGGAGUUUGGACGACAAUGGGGAAGCCCUUUAUAAUUUCCGGAAGAUAACCUCGGACCAUGGCUUUUCAGAAACGGACCUAUACAUCCUCAAGCAUGACUUAACCUGUGUGAAGGUAUUGCAAUCGGCUGCUGAAUCAAGGCCCUGAAGCAGGGAUGGAUCUGAGGAGGAAGCAGCAGCUCGGCCUACCUGGCCUCUCCUUCCCUACCCAAGGGGUCCCCACACCUGUGCAAAAUAAAGCUUGCUACCACCCGCUGCC